GGAAUAUUGGUCAAUGGGCGAGAGCCUGAACCAGCCAAGUAGCGUGCAGGAAGACUGCCCUAUGGGUUGUAAACUGCUUUUAUGCGGGAAUAAAGUCAGGUACGUGUACCUGUUUGUAUUUACCGCAUGAAUCAGGACCGGCUAAUUCCGUGCCAGCAGCCGCGGUAAUACGGAAGGUCCGGGCGUUAUCCGGAUUUAUUGGGUUUAAAGGGAGCGCAGGCUGAAGAUUAAGCGUGACGUGAAAUGUCCCGGCUCAACCGUGGAACUGCGUCGCGAACUGGUUAUCUUGAGUGAGUUCGAUGUUGGCGGAAUUCGUGGUGUAGCGGUGAAAUGCUUAGAUAUCACGAAGAACUCCGAUUGCGAAGGCAGCCAACAAGGCCUUUACUGACGCUAAAGCUCGAAGGUGCGGGUAUCGAACA
This 419-nucleotide ribosomal RNA is filed under the name uncultured Prevotella sp. Its description in RNAcentral is "bacterial SSU rRNA". It matches the Rfam family "Bacterial small subunit ribosomal RNA", at positions 358 to 774 of the family's 1533-position model. The record is from RNAcentral. Lineage: Bacteria; Pseudomonadati; Bacteroidota; Bacteroidia; Bacteroidales; Prevotellaceae.